This is a non-coding RNA of Schizosaccharomyces pombe (fission yeast), 412 nucleotides long. Lineage: Eukaryota; Fungi; Ascomycota; Schizosaccharomycetes; Schizosaccharomycetales; Schizosaccharomycetaceae. The record is from the annotation of a GenBank genome assembly.
CACAUUGAGUUUUUAAACGUUCAGAUGACCAAUGAGCAUUCCAAACCAAGAUAUUAAUAUCUAGAUGUUUUAGGAAUGUGAGAAUACUAUCAGGGUCAUCACACCGAAGAGCUUUAGAAGGAUGAGAAACAUAACUUUCUAAUCGGGAGGUAUGUUUUGAAAGCAAAGUAGAACGGGAAGCAAGGAAAAGAUCGUAGUCACUCCAUUUUUUAAUAUCCUCUUCACUAGUGGUCUAAUAAAAGUUAAUAAUCAAAUAAUUAGCAAAUUAUGUUUAACAUAUUUACCUCAUCCACUAGAAUCAUAACUUUCUUUCUUGAUUUUGAUUCACUUUUUGCUUCUUGGUCCCGAACCAGAUCCUUAAAUAGAACGUAAAGUGUUGUUCCUAUUCCAAUUGCAAGUGUUGCUUUCUGAA